Molecule: ribosomal RNA, 319 nt
Filed under: Bacillus cereus
Lineage: Bacteria; Bacillati; Bacillota; Bacilli; Caryophanales; Bacillaceae
Description: bacterial SSU rRNA
Rfam family: Bacterial small subunit ribosomal RNA
Source: RNAcentral
UCGUGAGAUAUUGUGUUUAUUUCCGCCACGAGCAGAACCCUUGAUUUUAGUUGCCGUCGGUAAGUUGCUCUCUUUAAGGUGACUGCCGGUGACAAACCGGAGGAAGGUGGGGAGGGACGUCAAAUCAUCAUGCCCCUUAUGACCUGGGCUACACACGUGUACAAUGGACGGUACAAAGAGCUGCAAGACCGCGAGGUGGAGCUAAUUUCAUAAAACCGUUGUCAGUUCGGAUUGUAGGCUGCAAUUCUCCUACAUGAAGUGGAAUCGCUAGUAAUCGCGGAUCAGCAUGCCGCGGGAAUACGUUUCCCGGCCUUGGUGC